Molecule: long non-coding RNA, 219 nt
Organism: Prosopis cineraria
Lineage: Eukaryota; Viridiplantae; Streptophyta; Magnoliopsida; Fabales; Fabaceae
Exons: 4
Source: RefSeq, a predicted model, not a curated record
AAAGGUUGGCUUGAAAAGUAUGAAGAAAAGCAGUGGCAUCUAUGGUAGUUCUGCAAAUAUGAAAGCGAGAAAGGCACUGGCUGAUGUUAGCAACGUUCAAGGCAACUCUAUGAGGAAUAUUAAACAGGAUGCUUCUAAAAUGAAGGUUUUAGCCAGCACAGGUACCAAGUUGGGCGAUGCCUCUUCAAGGAAGUCCUUUAUGGGGAGACUGCACAGGAA